Molecule: non-coding RNA, 176 nt
Filed under: Laccaria bicolor S238N-H82
Lineage: Eukaryota; Fungi; Basidiomycota; Agaricomycetes; Agaricales; Hydnangiaceae
Description: Microsporidia small subunit ribosomal RNA
Rfam family: Eukaryotic small subunit ribosomal RNA
Source: Rfam by way of RNAcentral
GGUGGUGCAUGGCCGUUCUUAGUUGGUGGAGUGAUUUGUCUGGUUAAUUCCGAUAACGAACGAGACCUUAACCUGCUAAAUAGCCAGGCCGGCUUUCGCUGGUCGCCGGCUUCUUAGAGGGACUGUCAGCGUCUAGCUGACGGAAGUUUGAGGCAAUAACAGGUCUGUGAUGCCCU